CCUACGGGUGGCUGCAGUGAGGAAUAUUGGUCAAUGGGCGCAAGCCUGAACCAGCCAUCCCGCGUGCAGGAAGACGGCCCUAUGGGUUGUAAACUGCUUUUCCAGGGGGAGAAACUUGCGCACGUGUUGCGCAAUUGACGGUACCCUGGGAAUAAGCAUCGGCUAACUCCGUGCCAGCAGCCGCGGUACUCCGGAGGAUGCGGACGCUAUCGGGUUUCAUUGGGUUUAAACGGACUAUUAAGUCAGUGGUGAAAUCCUGCAGCUUAACUGCAGAACUGCCAUUGAUACUGAUAGCCUUGAGUUUGGUUAAGGUAGGCGGAAUGUGUAAUGUAGCGGUGAAAUGCUUAGAUAUUACACAGAACACCAAUUGCGUAGGCAGCUUACUGAGCCGACACUGACGCUGAGGCACGAAAGCGUGGGGAUCGAACAGGAUUAGAUACCCCAGUAGUC
RNAcentral lists this ribosomal RNA (450 nucleotides) under uncultured bacterium. RNAcentral describes it as "partial 16S ribosomal RNA". It matches the Rfam family "Bacterial small subunit ribosomal RNA", at positions 338 to 795 of the family's 1533-position model. The record is from RNAcentral.